Long non-coding RNA from Polypterus senegalus (gray bichir), 1166 nucleotides. RefSeq lists it as uncharacterized. The record is from RefSeq and is a predicted model, not a curated record. The transcript is spliced from 3 exons. NCBI's taxonomy places the organism in Eukaryota, Metazoa, Chordata, Cladistia, Polypteriformes, Polypteridae.
ACCAAGAGCUGUGUUGCCUUCGUUGCUAUUAGUAAACUUUUAAAGUGAAUGGCUCGGCUGUGGAUAGAGGAAAAUGAGUCAAACAGAUCCUUAGGAGUAGUGUGACUGCAGUGGGAAGAGACAUGCUGCACGACCAUUCACUGGAAAUUCCACCCGGUCCUGAUGACAUCACUUCCAGCCUCGAUGACAUCACUUCCGGUGUAGAAACCUUCGAUGAAGAGACUUCCAGUUCCAGCCCUUUUGAGGACAUCACGUCCGGGUCCGAACCUAUGGAAGAGGACCCUUCCGCUUCCGCCCUUGAUAAAUUCACUUCCCUUUCUGGCCUUUAAAGCCAUCAUAUUGUACUAACCACAUCAGUUCUGUUUUCCACUCCGUUUUGUGCAUAUUAGUGCUAUCAAUUUACCCUUUUUGCAGCCAGUGUAUUUUAUGCAGAUGCAUUCCUAAUCUCCAGGAACUAAUUUGAUGAAAUAUACAUUUAACCAAUAGCACUGUAACAUUUUUUGCCAUUUUUCUUGAAAUGUCAAAAAACAUAAAGCUUUUAGUACAUAAUUCAACUUCAAAUGCAUUGCAGCCUACAAAUGCUGAAACAUCUACCUGCUUGAAAAAGUUAAACUGAGUUACAGGGGGUUCACAAUACGUUAGAUUCAUUGGAAAGCCUGCAUUUAGCUUUUUCCAGGUUAAAAGAUAAGGCCUAAAUGAUAAACAGAGAAACAUGGAGCUGUCCCCACAUUGUAUUGCUUACACCAUUUAUUUGGAAAUAUGUUUCUUAUAAUAUGAUAUGGGAAAUGUAUAGUUUGUGGUCUCAAAUAUACUGUAAUUUUAAAAAGAUAUAUUUGAAUUACAUGUAUUUUACAUUAUAUUGAAAGAUAUAGCCACAUAAUUUUGGGUAUAUAGCAGUACAUUUCAUUUUUGUAAGACGUACCAAAAAUUAGAAGGAAAGCUGCAGCAAGGACAAUGUCAUUUUGCAUAGUUAUCAUUAAAAAAAAGCUGGGUUGCUUCAGCUUGGCCUUUGUGUGUGUGUGUUUGUGCGUGAGUGUGUAUGUCCACAGUUGGGAUAGAGAGAAGAACCUCUUCUUCUCUGAGUUGGUGGGGCAGGGGAACUUUGAAAGCCAGAUGACCUAGGACUAAAAUUUUAUAAUGGCUUUUCCUGUUAAUUGAAACUACGG